CCUACGGGAGGCAGCAGUGGGGAAUCUUGCGCAAUGGGCGAAAGCCUGACGCAGCAACGCCGCGUGCGGGAAGAAGGCUUUCGGGCUGUAAACCGCUUUCAGCAGGAACGAAAAUGACGGUACCUGCAGAAGAAGGAGCGGCCAACUAUGUGCCAGCAGCCGCGGUGAUACAUAGGCUUCAAGCGUUGUCCGGAUUUAUUGGGCGUAAAGAGUUCGUAGGCGGUCGAGUAAGUCGGGUGUGAAAAUUCUGGGCUCAACCCAGAGACGCCACCCGAUACUGCUUGACUUGAGUUCGAUAGGGGAGUGGGGAAUUCCUAGUGUAGCGGUGAAAUGCGCAGAUAUUAGGAGGAACACCGGUGGCGAAGGCGCCACUCUGGAUCGAUACUGACGCUGAGGAACGAAAGCAUGGGUAGCAAACAGGAUUAGAUACCCUGGUAGUCCAUGCCGUAAACGGUGGGCACUAGGUGUGGGUUUCUAUUAACGAAAUCCGCGCCGUCGCUAACGCAUUAAGUGCCCCGCCUGGGGAGUACGGUCGCAAGACUAAAACUCAAAUGAAUUGACGGCNGAGAGUUGCGAGCGACACGAGGGAGAGG
This 593-nucleotide ribosomal RNA is filed under the name uncultured bacterium. RNAcentral's name for it is "bacterial SSU rRNA". It matches the Rfam family "Bacterial small subunit ribosomal RNA", at positions 338 to 944 of the family's 1533-position model. The record is from RNAcentral.